AUGGCGGGCGGCAGCAAGGCCGCGGCCGCUGUGGCUGUGGUCUUGGCCUUCCUACUCUUCGCCAUCGCCUCGACAGCAGCCGCCGCCGCACCCGACAUGUCCAUCAUCUCGUACAACUCGGCGCACGCCGUCCGUGGGCUGGAGCGGACGGAGGCCGAGGUGCGCGCGAUGUACGACCACUGGCUGGCGCGGCACGGCCGCUCGUACAAUGCGCUCGGCGAGUACGACCGCCGGUUCCGGGCGUUCUGGGACAACCUCAGGCUCGUCGACGCCCACAACGCCGACGCCGACGCCCGCGGGUUCCGCCUCGGGAUGAACCGCUUCGCCGACCUCACCAACGACGAGUUCCGCGCUGCCUACCUCGGCGCCAUCCCGAGCAGCCAAGGCCGCCACGCCGUCGGCGGGAGGUACCUCCACGACGGCGCCGAGACGCUGCCGGAGUCCGUGGACUGGAGGGAGAAGGGCGCCGUGGCCCCUGUGAAGAACCAGGGCCAGUGCGGCAGCUGCUGGGCGUUCUCGGCGGUCGGCGCGGUGGAAGGCAUCAACAAGAUUGUCACGGGCGACCUGGUGACGCUGUCCGAGCAGGAGCUGGUGGAGUGCGCAAGGAACGGGCAGAACAGCGGGUGCAAUGGCGGGAUGAUGGAGGACGCGUUCGACUUCAUCGCCCGGAACGGCGGCAUCGACACGGAGGAGGACUACCCCUACACCGCCAAGGACGGCAGGUGCGACCACGCCAAGAGGAGCCGCACGGCCGUGUCCAUCGACGGCUUCGAGUUGGUGCCGGAGAACGACGAGCUGUCCCUGAAGAAGGCGGUGGCGCACCAGCCCGUGAGCGUGGGCAUCGAGGCCGGUGGCCCCGAGUUCCAGCUGUACGAGUCGGGGGUGUUCACCGGCAGGUGCGGCACGGAGCUGGACCACGGCGUGGUGGCGGUGGGGUACGGCACCGACAAUGGCAGGGACUACUGGAGCGUGCGCAACUCAUGGGGCCCAGACUGGGGCGAGGGCGGCUACAUCCGGAUGGAGCGCAACGUCACCGCGCGCGCCGGCAAGUGCGGCAUCGCCAUGAUGGCGUCCUACCCCGUCAAGAACGGGCCCAACCCCUCACCCAAGCCUGACCCGCCGAAGCCGGUGGCCUGCGACCGCCACAGCAAGUGCCCGGCGGGGAGCACCUGCUGCUGCACCCACGGCGUGAGAAAGACGUGCUUCGUCUGGGGGUGCUGCCCUGCCAAGGGUGCCACCUGCUGCAAGGACGGCGCCACCUGCUGCCCGUCGGACUACCCCGUCUGCAACGCCGAGAACCGCACUUGCUCCAAGAGCAAGAACAGCCCGUACAACGUGGAUGCGCUUAUCCGUACUCCGGCCAAGCGAAGCAGGACAACGACGAUUACACAACUGGUCGAUUUUUAG
This 1407-nucleotide ribosomal RNA is filed under the name Triticum aestivum (bread wheat). RNAcentral's name for it is "partial small subunit ribosomal RNA". Lineage: Eukaryota; Viridiplantae; Streptophyta; Magnoliopsida; Poales; Poaceae. The record is from RNAcentral.